Molecule: ribosomal RNA, 524 nt
Filed under: uncultured bacterium
Lineage: Bacteria
Description: partial 16S ribosomal RNA
Rfam family: Bacterial small subunit ribosomal RNA
Source: RNAcentral
GACGAACGCUGGCGGCGUGCCUAAUACAUGCAAGUCGAACGAAGCUGUUUUAACUGGUGCUUGCACCGACUUAAACAACUGAGUGGCGAACGGGUGAGUAACACGUGGGUAACCUGCCCCAAAGCGGGGGAUAACAUUUGGAAACAGAUGCUAAUACCGCAUAACCACAGAAACCACAUGGUUUCUGUGUCAAAGAUGGUUUCGGCUAUCACUUUGGGAUGGACCCGCGGCGUAUUAGCUAGUUGGUAAGGUAAUGGCUUACCAAGGCAAUGAUACGUAGCCGAACUGAGAGGUUGAUCGGCCACAUUGGGACUGAGACACGGCCCAAACUCCUACGGGAGGUAGCAGUAGGGAAUCCUCCACAAUGGACGAAAGUCUGAUGGAGCAACGCCGCGUGAGUGAAGAAGGUUUUCGGAUCGUAAAACUCUGUUGUCAGAGAAGAACGUGUGCGAGAGUAACUGCUCGUGCAGUGACGGUAUCUGGCCAGAAAGCCACGGCUAACCACGUGCCAGCCGCCGCGGUAA